CAUGCCAUGCAUGAGUGAAAUAUGUGUUUUAAGCUUUUAGUGAACUUAGAUAUACAAGAGUUGCAUGUAAUUUUGCCUAUUUAAGAAGACCUUUGUUCAAACAUUUUUUUUUCUUGGAACCUUUUGUCAUUUUGAUGGUUUUGAAAAGCUUACAUAGCUUCAUUUAUCUCCAUAUGUCUCUCAAAAUUCCCUUCCCUAAAAGUGUCCCACCAUUCUAUUCCAAGACUUGAGAAUAGCUAGAAAGAUCUCUUGGUGGUGAUCAUUGUAGCUAUUUGAAGAAGUUUGAAAAGCUACAAAGUUGUCCAUCUACCAUCGCUGCUGUUCUUCCACCAUGAUCGCCCUUCCCUUUCACAUCUGACGAUUAAUGGUUCCAAAUAUGCUAGGAUUCUAUCUGUUUAUGGAAGGAUAUGCACAACAGUGUGUUCUCGAUUGUAGCUCGAACUCCGCCUCCGGACCGACCUGAACAC
Momordica charantia (bitter melon) is the source of this 467-nucleotide long non-coding RNA. RefSeq lists it as uncharacterized. Lineage: Eukaryota; Viridiplantae; Streptophyta; Magnoliopsida; Cucurbitales; Cucurbitaceae. The record is from RefSeq and is a predicted model, not a curated record.